AGUAAUGUAUGGGGAUCUGCCUGAUGGGGGGGGAGUAACUACUGGAAACGGUAGCUAAUACCGCAUAAUGUCUGCGGACCAAAGCGGGGGGACCUCCGGGCCUCGCGCCAUCAGAUGAACCCAUAUGGGAUUAGCUAGUAGGUAAGGUAACGGCUUACCUAGGCGACGAUCCCUAGCUGGUCUGAGAGGAUGAUCAGCCACACUGGGACUGAGACACGGCCCAG
This 224-nucleotide ribosomal RNA is filed under the name uncultured bacterium. RNAcentral describes it as "partial 16S ribosomal RNA". It matches the Rfam family "Bacterial small subunit ribosomal RNA", at positions 109 to 334 of the family's 1533-position model. The record is from RNAcentral.